AAUAAUUUAGCUUAAUAUAAAGCACUUUACUGAAGAUAAAGAAAACUAAAACAUCUUC
This 58-nucleotide transfer RNA is filed under the name Lycosa shansia. RNAcentral describes it as "tRNA-Phe". Lineage: Eukaryota; Metazoa; Arthropoda; Arachnida; Araneae; Lycosidae. The record is from RNAcentral.